CCAUCCCGGCGCGCUUGGAGAUAGACGUUUUCUUUGUCCUUUUGUCAGCUCUUGGGGGCCCCCGAACCCCCAGGCCCCCACUGCAGCGGGGGGGAUCCGGACCGGCCGGCCCUCCCCUCCAACACCACUGCGACCCCUGCCCCGCGGCCUGGACCCGCGACUCGUCCUGUUCUGGGCUGGACAGGAGGCCGGAGAGGACUCGGGCGCCCAAGGUGGAAACUGAGACCCAGAGAGCCGUGACUUGACUGAUCCCACAGCCAGGAAAUGGUGGAGCCUGGAUUUGAACCCCAGCUUUUAAGAAGAAGGUGCCACUGUCCUGGAAGAACUCUCAGGACAGCAUUAGUGUCUCAGGGAUCCCCCUAAUCGGAGGGGCCUUAAGGCAACCUAAUCAUGAUUGUCACUGAAGAUCCAGGAGGGCUUCCUGGAGGAGGAGGCAGCUCCAUUCUGAAAUGCCAAGGGUACAGCUUUAUUGGGACAGCCAGUGUCUCUGAAUAUGUAGGUUUUGCACAGAGCUUGUACUGCCCCAGGGCCUGUACACUGCCUGUCCCCUCUGCCUUGUGCACUCUUUCCCUAGAUGUCCAAAUGGCUCCUUUCCUCACCUACCCCAAAUCUCAAUUCCAGUGUUUCCCCAGCCUCCCCUCAUUUCAGUAAUCACUCUGCAGUGAGCUAGGAUUGCGCCACUGCACUCCAGCUUGGAUAAGAGAACAAGACCCUGUCUCUUAACUAAAUACAUAAAUAAAAAUAAUUCCCCUCUUCA
This is a long non-coding RNA of Homo sapiens (human), 757 nucleotides long. RefSeq lists it as uncharacterized. The record is from RefSeq and is a predicted model, not a curated record. NCBI's taxonomy places the organism in Eukaryota, Metazoa, Chordata, Mammalia, Primates, Hominidae. The transcript has 3 exons.